GUCGAGCGGAUGAAGAGAGCUUGCUCUCUGAUUCAGCGGCGGACGGGUGAGUAAUGCCUAGGAAUCUGCCUAUUAGUGGGGGACAACGUUUCGAAAGGAACGCUAAUACCGCAUACGUCCUACGGGAGAAAGCAGGGGACCUUCGGGCCUUGCGCUAAUAGAUGAGCCUAGGUCGGAUCAGCUAGUUGGUGAGGUAAAGGCUCACCAAGGCGACGAUCCGUAACUGGUCUGAGAGGAUGAUCAGUCACACUGGAACUGAGACACGGUCCAGACUCCUACGGGAGGCAGCAGUGGGGAAUAUUGGACAAUGGGCGAAAGCCUGAUCCAGCCAUGCCGCGUGUGUGAAGAAGGUCUUCGGAUUGUAAAGCACUUUAAGUUGGGAGGAAGGGCAGUAAGUUAAUACCUUGCUGUUUUGACGUUACCGACAGAAUAAGCACCGGCUAACUUCGUGCCAGCAGCCGCGGUAAUACGAAGGGUGCAAGCGUUAAUCGGAAUUACUGGGCGUAAAGCGCGCGUAGGUGGUUCGUUAAGUUGGAUGUGAAAGCCCCGGGCUCAACCUGGGAACUGCAUCCAAAACUGGCGAGCUAGAGUAUGGCAGAGGGUGGUGGAAUUUCCCUGUGUAGCGNGUGAAAUGCGUAGAUAUAGGAAGGAACACCAGUGGCGAAGGCGACCACCUGGGCUAAUACUGACACUGAGGUGCGAAAGCGUGGGGAGCAGACAGGAUUAGA
This 728-nucleotide ribosomal RNA is filed under the name uncultured Pseudomonadales bacterium. RNAcentral describes it as "bacterial SSU rRNA". It matches the Rfam family "Bacterial small subunit ribosomal RNA", at positions 61 to 782 of the family's 1533-position model. Lineage: Bacteria; Pseudomonadati; Pseudomonadota; Gammaproteobacteria; Pseudomonadales. The record is from RNAcentral.